GCCUGGGGCAUGGCUGGCUGUUGCCGUUCAUCUCGGCCUCCUGGCCCACUGAGCAGAACACACAGAAGCUGGGCCCACCCCUGCCCUCCCCACAAAGGGUCACGGGAGCCACCGCCUGACUUUGAAGCCCACUAACUUGCGGCUGACAAGAGAAAAGGGUGUGCCCCUGUGAUCAUGUGAAAGCAUCAGCCAGGGGUCCAAGAACUUCCCUCUGGAGCCUGACACUCCCAGCGUGGCACCUGGCAGGGAACAGAUUCUCUCCAAACCUUUGUGAAUGAAUGAAGGAUAACGUCACUAGAAUCCAUCCCUGUUUUAUUUUUUAUUUUUAUUUUUUGAGACAGAGUCUCACUCUGUCGCCCAGGCUGGAGUGCAGUGGCACAAUCUCAGCUCACUGCAACCUCUGCCUCCCCGGUUCAAGUGAUUCUCCUGCCUCAACCUCCUGAGUAGCUGGGAUUACAGGCACCCAUCACCAUGCCUGGCUAAUUUUUGUGUGUGUUUUUAGUACAGAUGGGGUUUCACAACGUUGGCCAGACUGGUCUUGAACUCCUGACCUCAGGUGAUCCGCCUGCCUCGGCCUCCCAAAGUGUUGAGAUUACAGGCAUGAGCCACCAUGCCCGGCCCCACCCCCAUUUUAUAGACAAGGAUACCAAGGCUCAGAGAGGGGAAGCCACUUGCCAAGGACGCACAGGAGGAGACCAGUGAGCAGGACCUCUGGUCUGUCUGGGAGGUCACUGGGCCUCUUCCCAGAGUCUCUGCUUGGUGAGCCAGGAUUUUACACCCGCCUUGGGCCCAGUGGACUGAGAGGACAUGGGCUGGGGUGUCGGAAGCUGCAGAGCUGAUCCCUCCUGCUUGGCUGGAGGCUUGCGGACCUGGCAGGCAGGCUGGGGAGGCAGCGGGCGACUUGAAAAUGCACUCACUACCACAGGCUCAAAAGUGAUGGCGCCUGUCAGGGACCGGGAGGCAGGGCCUGUCUUUUCUUGCUGUUUUAUUGCCUUCAAAAUCUGGACCAAGUGGUUUCUGGAUGGAGUCACAGUAACCUCAUGUCUAUUCAAGCAAUUCGUUCAUUGCUUCAUUUAGUAAAAUACUCACAAAACAAG
Long non-coding RNA from Pongo pygmaeus (Bornean orangutan), 1097 nucleotides. RefSeq lists it as uncharacterized. NCBI's taxonomy places the organism in Eukaryota, Metazoa, Chordata, Mammalia, Primates, Hominidae. The record is from RefSeq and is a predicted model, not a curated record. The transcript has 2 exons.